Molecule: transfer RNA, 65 nt
Filed under: Sympiezomias velatus
Lineage: Eukaryota; Metazoa; Arthropoda; Insecta; Coleoptera; Curculionidae
Description: tRNA-Leu
Rfam family: tRNA
About the family: Transfer RNA (tRNA) molecules are approximately 80 nucleotides in length. Their secondary structure includes four short double-helical elements and three loops (D, anti-codon, and T loops). Further hydrogen bonds mediate the characteristic L-shaped molecular structure. tRNAs have two regions of fundamental functional importance: the anti-codon, which is responsible for specific mRNA codon recognition, and the 3' end, to which the tRNAs corresponding amino acid is attached (by aminoacyl-tRNA synthetases). tRNAs cope with the degeneracy of the genetic code in two manners: having more than one tRNA (with a specific anti-codon) for a particular amino acid; and 'wobble' base-pairing, i.e. permitting non-standard base-pairing at the 3rd anti-codon position.
Source: RNAcentral
GUUAUUUUGGCAGAAUAGUGCAAUAGAUUUAGAAUCUUUUUAUGUAAAAUUUUUUACAAAUAAUA